Molecule: ribosomal RNA, 497 nt
Filed under: uncultured bacterium
Lineage: Bacteria
Description: partial 16S ribosomal RNA
Rfam family: Bacterial small subunit ribosomal RNA
Source: RNAcentral
GGUGAACGCUGGCGGCGUGCCUAAUACAUGCCAGUCGAGCGAACAGACGAGGAGCUUGCUCCUCUGACGUUAGCGGCGGACGGGUGAGUAACACGUGGAUAACCUACCUAUAAGACUGGGAUAACUUCGGGAAACCGGAGCUAAUACCGGAUAAUAUAUUGAACCGCAUGGUUCAAUAGUGAAAGACGGUUUUGCUGUCACUUAUAGAUGGAUCCGCGCCGCAUUAGCUAGUUGGUAAGGUAACGGCUUACCAAGGCAACGAUGCGUAGCCGACCUGAGAGGGUGAUCGGCAACACUGGAACUGAGACACGGUCCAGACUCCUACGGGAGGCAGCAGUAGGGAAUCUUCCGCAAUGGGCGAAAGCCUGACGGAGCAACGCCGCGUGAGUGAUGAAGGUCUUCGGAUCGUAAAACUCUGUUAUUAGGGAAGAACAAAUGUGUAAGUAACUAUGCACGUCUUGACGGUACCUAAUCAGAAAGCCACGGCUAACUACGUG